CUAAGGUUUCCUGUUUCGAAGUUCAUCUGAGCAGGGUCAGCCGGCUCCUUAGGCCAAAGCGGAAGCGCAUAACCGAUGGAAAUCACGUUAACAUUCGUGAGCCUCUCUUUGAGCAACUUGGAACCUAUGGUGUAAAAUCUAAUUGGAUUGAUUUUGCUUCGUAGUGUUUAACAGGAAAAACCUCAAAGCCUCCGGCCGUACCGCAAACCGACACUGGUAGUCUAGUUGAGCAUACUAAGGCGUUUUGGGUCAUUUGCGCUGAAGGAACUCGGCAAAUUGAACGCGUAACCUCGGGAGAAGCGUUGCCUCCCUCGGCGCAAGCCGAGAUGGCGUAACACAAAAGGGGGGAGCGACUGUUUACCAAAAACACAGGACUCUGCCAAAUCGAAAGAUGAUGUAUAGGGUCUGACGCCUGCCCAGUGCUGGCAAACGAAAGUUGAAUGUUUCAAACCAUUUGACAUAAGUCCCAGUAAACGGCGGCCGUAACUAUAACGGUCCAAAGGUAGCGAAAUUCCUUGUCGGGUAAGUUCCGACCUGCACGAAUGGCGUAACGACUUCCCCGCUGUCUCCAGCGCAAGCCCAGCGAAAUUGAAUUCCCCGUGAAGAUGCGGGGUCCUCGCGGCUAGACGGAAAGACCCCGUGCACCUUUACUACAACCUUGCGUUGGAAGAUAUCAAAAACAUGCGUAGCGUAAGCGGCAGGCGACAACCCUUCAGUUCCGGCCGAAGGCGAGCCCACAAUGAAACACCGUUCUUGUUUUCCGAUUCUUUCUAAUUGAAAUAAGCCAAUCUCAUUUCGAAACCCCGCAAGGUGGCUAGUUUGACUGGGGCGGUCGCCUCCCAAACAGUAACGGAGGCGUGCAAAGGUAAGCUCAAACCGGUUUGGAACCGUUUGUUGAAGCGCAAUGGCACAUGCUUGCCUGACUGCGAAGACCCACAAGUCAAGCAGAGACGAAAGUCGGCCAUAGUGACCCGGUGGUUCCAAGUGGAAGGGCCAUCGAUCAACGGACAAAAGGUACGCCGGGGAUAACAGGCUAAUAGCUCCCGAGAGCACUUAUCGACGGAGCUGUUUGGCACCUCGAUGUCGACUCAUCGCAUCCUGGGACUGAAGAAGGCCCCAAGGGUAUGGCUGUUCGCCAUUUAAAGCGGUACGUGAGUUGGGUUCAGAACGUCGCAAGACAGUUCGGUCCCUAUCUGCCGCGAGCGCAAGAGUGUUGACGGGCCCUCCCUCCAGUACGAGAGGACCGAGGGAGCCGUACCGCUGGUGUUCCUGUUGUCCCGCCAGGGGCAUGGCAGGUUAGCUACGUACGGAAAGGAUAACCGCUGAAAGCAAAUAAGCGGGAAGCCUCCCCGAAGAUUAACACUCUAUGUUAGAGUCGUGGAAGAUCACCACGUUGAUAGACCAGAUGUGCAAGCAUGGAAACAUGUUUCAGCUAACUGGCACUAAUUCUCGAAAGUUGACGAA
This 1464-nucleotide ribosomal RNA is filed under the name Candidatus Hodgkinia cicadicola. RNAcentral's name for it is "bacterial LSU rRNA". It matches the Rfam family "Bacterial large subunit ribosomal RNA", at positions 1345 to 2925 of the family's 2925-position model. Lineage: Bacteria; Pseudomonadati; Pseudomonadota; Alphaproteobacteria; Hyphomicrobiales. The record is from RNAcentral.